GACGAACGCUGGCGGCGUGCCUAAUACAUGCAAAUCGAGCGAUGAUUAAAGAUAGCUUGCUAUUUUUAUGAAGAGCGGCGAACGGGUGAGUAACGCGUGGGAAAUCUGCCGAGUAGCGGGGGACAACGUUUGGAAACGAACGCUAAUACCGCAUAACAAUGAGAAUCGCAUGAUUCUUAUUUAAAAGAAGCAAUUGCUUCACUACUUGAUGAUCCCGCGUUGUAUUAGCUAGUUGGUAGUGUAAAGGACUACCAAGGCGAUGAUACAUAGCCGACCUGAGAGGGUGAUCGGCCACACUGGGACUGAGACACGGCCCAGACUCCUACGGGAGGCAGCAGUAGGGAAUCUUCGGCAAUGGGGGCAACCCUGACCGAGCAACGCCGCGUGAGUGAAGAAGGUUUUCGGAUCGUAAAACUCUGUUGUUAGAGAAGAACGUUAAGUAGAGUGGAAAAUUACUUAAGUGACGGUAUCUAACCAGAAAGGGACGGCUAACUACGUGCCAGCCGCCGCGGUAA
RNAcentral lists this ribosomal RNA (515 nucleotides) under uncultured bacterium. RNAcentral describes it as "partial 16S ribosomal RNA". It matches the Rfam family "Bacterial small subunit ribosomal RNA", at positions 28 to 523 of the family's 1533-position model. The record is from RNAcentral.